CAAACCAGUCUAUAAUUCUAUGAUUCUACAUUGAAUAACCCAAAACUUUCAUUUUUUUUCUGCCUAAAUUGCCCAAGUGUUUGAAAUCAUAUUCACGAUUUUCAUUACAAUUGAAUUCUAGUUUUUGUCACCUCUUAUGUCAACCCUGCCAGUAUUUUAGGUAUUUUUUUGCUUUCUGGAUUUCUCUGCAGCAUCCAGAUGAGCAAGCACUACUGUGUUACUGUGCUGACAGAGCACCCUUAAAUUGGGUUGGAUGUUGGAGGGGAAAUGG
This is a long non-coding RNA of Chiroxiphia lanceolata (lance-tailed manakin), 271 nucleotides long. RefSeq lists it as uncharacterized. The record is from RefSeq and is a predicted model, not a curated record. Lineage: Eukaryota; Metazoa; Chordata; Aves; Passeriformes; Pipridae. The transcript has 3 exons.